This is a non-coding RNA of Callithrix jacchus (white-tufted-ear marmoset), 7210 nucleotides long. NCBI's taxonomy places the organism in Eukaryota, Metazoa, Chordata, Mammalia, Primates, Cebidae. The record is from RefSeq and is a predicted model, not a curated record.
UUUUCUGUAUCUUACAGCAAAAUACAUCCCACCUGUUAGAAAAAGUGUGAAGAAUUCCAGCCAAAAUGGUGUUUAAAAAAGAAAAUUAGCGAGCAUUUGUGAGAACUUUCAUUUCACUAAUAUUUGAAUGAUACUUCAAAGAUACCGUAAUAUUAAUUGAGCAAUUACUGUGUAUUUUUGUUUUUAGGCUUGGGGGAUACAACAAUAAAUGAUUAGCCAAAAGAGCUUGUAUUCUAGCAGGAGAGACAGAUAUUAAGCAGCCAAUUGCAUGUUUAUAUUACAAAAUUAUGGUUAUAAUUAAAACUAGUAAGAAGGAAAAAAGUCAGGACUUAGGGUAUGUAGUAAUUAUAUAAAUAAUAAAAUAUUACAAAAUAUAUAGCUAAAUAACUGAAUGAAAUUACAAAAACAAACAAGUAUAGAAAUAUAUAAAAUGUAUAGUUUAUACAGACAUUCCCUGAGGUCAAGAGAAACUGUAAAGUGGAGUCGUUUAGUCCAGGAUAAUUGUCUGAAGGAAGUUAAUAUUGUACCAGGUUUUGAAGGAAGUGCCCAAAGGACAGGCUAGACUGGGCAGAAAGAGAGCACUCUAAAUAUAAGGAACCGGAAGAGCAAAGGAAGAAAGCAGGAAUGAAGUACGAGUGAACUAAAAGAAAUACCAGAAUCACUUGAUUUUUAAAUUCCCUGUAGGAACAGCAUUCUAGGGGCAUCUCUCAGAGAAAAAGACAGAAAGAUACCAGAAGUCUCAAAGCAAGAUUAUUUAAAGGCAUAAAAAUAAUAUAGGAGAAAAACACAGAAGAAAAAGUAGGAGUACAAGAGUGCAUUUGAAAUGAAGACGUCAUUCAAAAUAAUGAAUAAUUUAUAAUGUGGGUGUCAAAAGAAUUGUCAUAAAAAGUAAUUAUGGAUUUAAGGGCAUCAAGAAGGAGGGACUCAAACUUUCACAAAUAGAAAUGGAAAUAAAGAUGAGGAGUGGCAAAAAAAUGAAGACAGUUUUGGCAUUUAAAAAGCAUCAGAUUACAUUGUGAAUGAAUCCAUAUUGAAAGGUUAUUUAAGUCAGUAAGCACCAGUCUGCCAAUCACGUAAGAUAUGACGUCGCCUCUAUCAGUCUUCUUAAAGGAAAGUAGGUUGAACAUCGAUCCAGGAUGCCAGGACUCACGUCCUAAAAGUCAGGCUCUCUCUGUUCUUCUGCCUUGACUACUGAGAGAAAGGAGUAGGGGAAAUCAAGUGUAAAGUUGAAAAAGGCUGAAUCUUGGACUGUUAUCCAGUUGUCAUCUUGGACCACAAAUGAUCACAUGAUAUUUUGAAGUUCCUUUUGGUGAUUUCCUGGUACAAUGGAAAUAAGAAAAUCUCAUGAUAUAGUUCUUGUCUGUGAUGAGACACACAGGUGAGACUGAAGGGAAGUUGGAAGAUCAUCUUUGACACUGUCACAGCACCCCAAGAGAGAGGGACUCAAGACUGGGACUCAGGCCAUCACAGUGGAAAUGGAGAAGAGAAGAUAGACUUGAGAAUUGCCAAAUGGAUAGAAUAGGCAGAAUGGGUAGAAUAUUGUCGAUUGGAUAUAGCUACUGAGAGGAAGGGUGCAUUUGCAGGUUUCUGGCUUUGGUGACUGAGAAGAUAGAUGAAAGUGUCACUCAAAGGGAAGGGAAAUGUAAGAGAUGUUACUCUGCCAAAGAAUUGAAUGAAUAUACGCCAAGGAUCUGAAUGAAUUUCUUAAGUGUAUACCCAUAGAAAAUGAAGAUAAGAGGGCCAAGGUCAGAAGCUUAGAGGCCAUGAUAAUUUGUGUUGUGAACAGAGAAAGAAGAUAGCACCAAAAAAUGAGAAGAAAGGCCAUGAGAAUGAGACAGAGAAUCGAGGAGGGAAUUCGGCUGAAGUAGUGAAUGGAAGUUGAUACAGUUGCAUAUUACUAUUUAUCCCAAAUAAGUGAAUGGAUUUCCCAAGGGUGAAAGUUAAGAUUCACUUGGGAUGGCUGCCAAAAUAUUAAGGUAACUAUUAGAUAUGAAGACAUUAAACUGGGACAUUGGUGUGACUGACUGAUAUAGAGAGAUUCUGUCACACCCCUGGCUGCUGUUGUCACCGGGUUGCAGAAUGAAGUGUGGUUAGUGAGUGUUAGCACAGACCAAUGAUCAACAAAGGGUUCUCAUAUUAACCCAGUUUCCUGUCUCCAGCAGUGGCUCUUUUUAAAGAAAAUCAAGUGCUUCAAUAAUGGAAUUGACAAAUGAUGGAUCUACCUACUGAUAGCAGUUUGGAUUCCCUGGGAAGUAAACUCUGAAGUGGUGAUCAGUGUGCAUGAAGCUUUUUAGGGAAGACACUUGGGACCAAUUCAUGAGGAAGGGAGGGCAGAAAGCGCAAUGAGGCAGAGGGAAAAGCUGGGCUCUGUCGAAGUCUCAACAAAGGCCUCAGCCUGCCCCAUGGACACCCAAGGAUGACUAUUCAGAGUUGCUCUGAUUUGGGGCAAGGUUGUGGGCCUUCAUCCUCUUCCUUCAACCAACUGGACAAGAGGCAUGUUUUUCAUUUUUUCUAGCAUUUUGUAAUAUGCACAUUAGAAGCUCAAAAAUACUUAUUAAAUAAGUGAAUCUCUAGCUACUUAGCCAAGAAUGUAGCCUGGGUGUGGCAAAUGUAAUGAAUCACUAUUUUAAUUUCAUAGUUUUAAAUUUUUAUUUAUACUCAUCUCUUCUGACAUCCCAGAUUUACUAAUCAUUCACUCAACAAAUAUGUAUUGAAUUCUGUUGUGUUCCAGACACUGUUCUGAGCAAAGGGUAUGAUAUGGCGGUGAUGUGGUUUGACUGUGUCUGCACCCAAAUCUCAUCUUGAAAUUGUAGCUCCCAUAAUUCCCAUGUGUUGUGGGAGGGAGCCUGUGAGAGAUAAUUGAAUCAUGGGGCAAUUUCUUCAUACUGUUCUCAAGUUAGUGAAUAAGUCUCAGGCUAGCUGACGAUUUUAUAAGAGGUUUCCCCUUUCACUUGCUUCUUAUUCUUGCUUGUCUGCCACCAUGUAAGAUGUGCCUUUGGCCUUCUGCCAUGAUUGUGAGCCCCCCACCACCCCACCAGUCACAUGGAACUGUGAGUCCAUUAAACCUCGUUUUCUUUAUAAAUUACCCAGUCUCAGGUAUGUCUUUUUUAGCAGCAUGAAAACUGACUAAUAAAGGUGGUGAACAAGACAAGGGACCUGCCAUGAUGGAGAUAAAUUCCAGUAAGAGGCAGAUAAUACAACUGAAACAGAGAUGAUCAAGAUGGUUACACAAUGUGAUAGGUGCUAUGGCAGCAAUAAACAUAGUGAAGAGAUGAAAUGCACCACCUGGGGUCUGGGAUGAGGUGAUAUCGCCUUCAGAAGAAAAUGAUUCUGCCAUGACCAGAGAGAGAAAACAAGCAUUUCGGGCAGAAGGAAAGGAAUUCAUGAGGGAGAAAGAACUCCGUAUCCUUUGAGAAAUGGAAGAGGUCAGAAGGGUUGGACAGUAGUUUGCUCAGGGGAACAUGGUAAUGGAUGAGGUUGGAGAAGGUGUCAGCCAGGGUAAAGGGGUUGAAUUUUAUCCUAAGAGCAAUAGUAAGUCAAUGAAGAGUGAAAGUUUAUUGUUAUUGUUGCUUGUUUGUUUAAAAUAGAAGCUAGAGACAGAUUUACCAUGAAACUAAUGAAGCCUAAGCUUCAGGACCUCCCACUUGCAUGAGUCCUUUAAAAAACUUGGGAGGAACUGUAGCUUUGUAUGUGUUUGAAGUCAUGGUUUUAUAAAAUUGGCAACUGUUUGGGACCACUCUCUUUUUCCAUACUGACAUCCCUUCCAUCACACUCCCUUUUGUGGAGUGGCACUGGAGUGGCCAUGGUCAUUUUUUAGAUCUGGUUCCAAGGAGGUUGAAUGGUAUACAGCUAACUUGGCUUGGUGAAAUACAGUUAUAUGGCUCAUAGCCAGUUUUGUGUAUGGCUAAUGUUGUUAACCAUCUCAUAAUAGGUGCUGGCUUACCCAGUAUUAUGACAUGAAGGUGUACAACCAUUGGUUUGCAUUACACUAUGAGUGUGUCUUUCAGCACCCAGCCCUGGGAGUAAGCAGGUGGUGGAAAGGAAAAGAUUUGAGGUAUAUGUGGUGGAUGCUAGUCCAUGGAACAUUCUAGUCAUCAGAUGCAUACAAUUCUAAGCAGAGGAUUUAUUCUUUAUUUAUACUUAUCUUUCAGGAUAGCAAAGUACAAUUAUAAUGCCUAUUUUUUUCCUUUCAGAUAAGAAUUGUGAAAAAUAGAACUUAGAGUUCCUGUGUUUUCAUGAUAAGCAGUGAGAAUUGUGUGUUUGCACAUGCAUGAAGUUGUAUGUUAAAUUAUCAGUACGAAAAUAUCUAUAUUACAAAGCAAAUUUCAGCCAACCACACUACAAAACUCCCUUCCCCAAUUUUAUAAGCUUCCAGCCUCACAAAGCCUGGAUCUAUCUCUGACGAGAAUGAUGCCGUGAGAUCGGAUUUCGAUUUUAUGAAGGUGCUGGCUGCCAUAUGGAGAGCAGAUCAAGAAGGAGCAAGAGUAAAACCAGAGACAUAUCUUGCAUCUAGUCACGAUGCUUUUGAAUGUAGUUACUAACAAGGAACAUCAAAAUAGUCCAGUGUUGUCACUGGUCUUUAUUCAUUGCUUUGCAGAGUCAACUGAGUACCUAAAGGGGGAUUGGUCCUGAGUACCACAGCAUCACUUCUCAGUCCUUAGUGUGCCUAUGUGUCCCUUGGGAGUAGGUCUGGGGUGCAGCCUGGGAUUCUGCAUUUCUAGCAAGACUUCAGGUAGUCCUGUUGGCUGGCUCGUGGACCAUAUUUGGAGUAAUAAGGUAGCAAAACACUAGGGAUCUAGAGUCAGACUGGCUGUGUUUGAAUCUUCACUUCACUACAAACUUUGUGACUUGUUAAGUUAUCUAAACUUUCUAGUCCUCAGUUUUCUCAUUUAUAAAUCGGGAUGCUCAUAAUAGACUGAACCAAUCAAAUUAUCGUGAAGAUUAAAUGAGACACUUCAUGUUAAGAGGUGAUCACAAUAUAAGGUACAAAAAAUGCUAGAUAUAUUUGUUCUUGCUGCAGUCAGAUAGCCCGCCUGGCCUUUUGAGCCAAGCUUGACUGCAACUGCUUUUGAAGGUUACUGAAGUUUCUCAUGUGUAUUGAAAGAAAGAAAGGGCCUGCCCCUGCAACACAGACUAAGUAAAACUAGUCUGGUUAAUGCAAACUUAUAAACAAUAAAAUAUAUUUGCAAAUCAAAAUUGCCAAGUACAAUAAAUGUUGAGUUAGUCAGGCAUGUGAUAGGUUUGAUAAAUCACAGAUUCUUGUAUCCAGAAUGGAAGUUAGAAGGUCUUGUAUUUCAGUUGCUUCAUUCUACAGACAAAACAGAAACAAACAAACAAAAACCCACAAGGCUCUCUCUGAGGGAUUGUGGCUUUGGUCAUGAUAUUCCCUGUGGGUCAUAUCUCCUAACUGAAAAGCAACAGAGACCACUAUCAAAGUAUUUUAUUAAUACUUUGCAAUCUAUAGAAAGCCAUCUUUAUUCAAACCCCCUUAUUAUUGCUAUGGGUUAAAUUAUGUCCUCGCAAAAACUUACAGUAAAGUCCUAACCCCAUACCUGUGAAUGUGGCUUUUUUUUUUGAAAAUAGCAUGUUUGCAGAUGUAAUCGAGUUAAGAUUACAUCUUAGGGUGGGCCCUAAUCUAAUAUGACCAGUGUCCUCCUAAGAUAAUGUAAGGCAGAGACCUGCAAGGGGAAGACCAUGUGAUGACAGAGACAGAGCCUGGAGUCAUACAGCUGCAAACCAAAAAUGCCAAGGACUGACAGCCACCAGCAGAAGCUAGAAGAGUCAAGGAAGGAGUCUACUGGAAUCUCCGGAGGAACAUGGCCCAGCUGACAUGUCGAUUUCCAACUUCCAGCCUCCAGAGCUGUAGGAGAAUACAUUUCUAUUGUUUUUCCUUUUGUUGUUCUUGUUGUUGCCCAGGCUGGAGUGCAGUGGUGGGAUCUUGGCUCACUGCAACCUCCACUUCCCAGGUUCAACUGAUUCUCCUGCCUCAGCGUCCCGAGUAGCUGGGAUUACAGGUGCACAUCACCAUGCCCAGAUAAUUUUUUAUUUUUAGUUUCGCCAGGCUGGUCUCAAACUCCUGACCUCAGGUGAUCCACCCACUUCAGUCUCCCAAAAGGCAGGGAUUACAGGUGUGAGCCACCACGCCCAGCUUCCUUUCUCUAUUUUUUUUUUGAGACGGAGUUUCACUCUUGUUACCCAGGCUGGAGUGCAAUGGCGCGAUCUCGGUUCACCGCAACCUCCGCCUCCUGGGUUCAGGCAAUUCUCCUGCCUCAGCCUCCUGAGUAGCUGGGAUUACAGGCACGCGCCACCGUGCCCAGCUAAUUUUUUGUAUUUUUAGUAGAGACGGGGGUUUCACCAUGUUGACCAGGAUGGUCUCGAUCUCUUGACCUCGUGAUCCACCCACCUCGGCCUCCCAAAGUGCUGGGAUUAGAGGCGUGAGCCACAGCGCCCGGCCCUUUCUCUAUUUUUAACAGGUUUAUCUUUCCUCUUCUGCCGCAUGAGAAGCUUCUUGAGGGCAGAGCAUUGGACUCUGGCCAUGUUCACAUCCCUUCAAUGGCUUAGCAGGGCUUAGACAGUACUCAGUGAACAGUUGUUGAGUUGAAGUAAUUAUAGAUUUCCACAAAAAUUAUCUGGCUCAUUAUUAGUUAUGAAUUUUCUAUAAUUUAUCCAUCAGUUUUUGGCAUUAAUUGUCAUUGAGGAAUUGACAAUUUGUCAAUAGAAGAAGUACCUGUUAGUUGCCAAGAGAUGUUUGGACAGAAAAAGGAAAUAAAUACUUAUGGGGAAAUACAAGAGCUCAUUUUAAUAUUAUUUUAAGAGUAAUCAUUGAUAUUCACUGAAAUCUUGCUAAGUGUCAGGUCCUGCUCUAUCUGGUUAGCAUAUAUUAUCUCAUUUAAUCCUCAUUAUGUCCCAGCAAGUACAUUCGAUUGUGAGACUUGGCUUAUUGGUGGAAAAAACCCUGAUCCUUAGAAGCUGCUAAAAAGUACAGUCGAGAGUUAAACUUGGGCAGCAUGACCAGAACUUAGUUCUUAACCAGCUCUUAAAAAACUACUGUGGAAUGCAGACACUGAUCUUUCCUUUCUGUAGCUCUGAAAAACAUUCAACUUUGUGUUCGUGAAUGCUAAUGCGUUUAGAUUGCUCUCUAUAUAAAUAUAUGCGUGUGAGAGUGUUGAAAAUAUAUUUAUUCUGUAGUAUGUUUGUUACUUCUGUAUAU